This 50-nucleotide non-coding RNA is filed under the name unclassified sequences. The record is from RNAcentral.
ACGCCGUGACUGCGUCUUGCUGCAGGUUUGAGUAUUUCUCAACGCGGCGU